AUACGUAGGUGACAAGCGUUAUCCGGAUUUACUGGGCGUAAAGGGCGCGUAGGCGGCCCGGUAAGUCUGGAGUGAAAGUCCUGUUUUUAAGAUGGGACUUGCUUUGGAUACUGUCGGGCUUGAGUGCAGGAGAGGUAAGUGGAAUUCCCAGUGUAGCGGUGAAAUGCGUAGAGAUUGGGAGGAACACCAGUGGCGAAGGCGACUUACUGGACUGUAACUGACGCUGAGGCGCGAAAGUGUGGGGAGCAAACAGGAUUAGAUACCCUGGUAGUCCACACUGUAAACGAUGAAUGCUAGGUGUAGGGGGUAUCGACCCCUUCUGUGCCGCAGUCAACACAAUAAGCAUUCCGCCUGGGGAGUACGGCCGCAAGGUUGAAACUCAAAUGAAUUGACGGGG
RNAcentral lists this ribosomal RNA (397 nucleotides) under uncultured bacterium. RNAcentral's name for it is "partial 16S ribosomal RNA". It matches the Rfam family "Bacterial small subunit ribosomal RNA", at positions 523 to 918 of the family's 1533-position model. The record is from RNAcentral.